CGGGCCGGGGGCGAGGAGUCAAGGCUGGGGAGCGGGUGACGGGCGGGCGGAGGGCUUGCCCCCGUGUGGUCCUCGGAGCAGCCUGAGGUCCAGCCUCCGAGCGGUCCCGGAGGAGGAUGCGACCGGGGGGCCCCGGGCGGGGCGGUCGGCGGCGGCUGCAGCGCUAGCGGCGCGGGGGCUGGGCGGCGGCGCCGGCAUGAGGCGCAGGGCCGGUGUCCGCGGGAGGGUGGCGCUGCCGGCGGCCCGGCCGCUCCCGCUGCAAUUGCUUGCUGGGCUCGCCGUGCCCUGCCAGUGGGGCCCCCGCAGCUCUCGUCCCGGCCGCUGCUGGUGACCACUCGCCGCCCCCCCGGAGGCUUCACCCGCGCCCUCCCCCAGGACGCGCCAGCGGAGCUCCGGCCCCUUCGCCCUGGACGCGGAGGCCGCGCUGUGCGGGGCGACGGCGAGGCCGGAAGAUGGCCUGGGUGCUCAAGAUGGACGAGGUGAUCGAGUCCGGGCUGGUGCACGACUUCGACGCCAGCCUCUCGGGCAUCGGGCAGGAGCUGGGCGCCGGCGCUUACAGCAUGAGUGAUGUCUUGGCAUUGCCCAUUUUCAAGCAGGAAGAUUCCAGCCUUCCAUUGGAUGGUGAAACAGAGCACCCACCCUUUCAGUAUGUGAUGUGUGCCGCAACGUCGCCAGCAGUAAAACUGCAUGAUGAAACGCUUACUUAUUUGAACCAAGGUCAGUCAUACGAAAUUCGGAUGCUGGAUAAUCGGAAAAUGGGUGAUAUGCCUGAGAUCAGUGGAAAAUUAGUAAAGAGCAUCAUAAGGGUUGUAUUCCAUGACAGACGGCUACAAUACACAGAGCAUCAGCAACUUGAAGGAUGGAAGUGGAAUCGCCCAGGAGACAGACUUCUUGAUUUAGAUAUUCCAAUGUCUGUGGGAAUAAUUGACACAAGGACGAAUCCAAGCCAGUUAAAUGCGGUUGAAUUUCUGUGGGACCCAGCAAAACGCACCUCUGCUUUCAUUCAGGUACACUGCAUCAGCACGGAAUUUACUCCACGGAAGCACGGAGGUGAAAAGGGAGUGCCCUUUAGGAUCCAGGUUGACACCUUUAAGCAGAAUGAAAAUGGAGAAUACACAGAUCAUCUACACUCAGCUAGCUGCCAAAUCAAAGUUUUUAAGCCUAAAGGUGCAGACAGGAAACAAAAAACUGACCGAGAGAAGAUGGAGAAGAGAACAGCUCAUGAAAAAGAAAAGUAUCAGCCAUCCUAUGAUACCACAAUCCUCACAGAGAUGAGGCUUGAGCCUAUAAUUGAAGAUGCAGUUGAACAUGAGCAGAAAAAGUCCAGCAAGCGGACUUUGCCAGCAGACUACGGUGAUUCUCUGGCAAAGCGAGGCAGUUGUUCUCCAUGGCCCGAUGCCCCCACAGCCUAUGUGAAUAACAGCCCUUCCCCAGCGCCCACUUUCACCUCCCCACAGCAGAGCACUUGCAGUGUCCCAGACAGCAAUUCUUCUUCCCCAAAUCAUCAGGGAGAUGGAGCUUCACAGGCCUCUGGUGAACAAAUUCAGCCUUCAGCUACGAUCCAGGAAACACAGCAAUGGCUGCUCAAAAACAGAUUCUCUUCCUACACAAGACUGUUCUCUAAUUUUUCAGGUGCCGACUUACUAAAACUGACAAAGGAGGAUUUAGUUCAAAUUUGUGGUGCAGCCGAUGGAAUUCGGCUCUAUAAUUCACUGAAGUCAAGGGCAGGCCCAGAUAUGAUGCAGGCACUGAUGAGGGCAGAGGUAGACUGUAAGACUGGUAGAAAUGCACAUGGGCAGUACUGAUUUCUUGAAGACGACUGGGUUUGUUGCCAAGAAAACAAAACUUCUAAUUUAGGUGAGCUAUACAGAAUCUAUGGUUUUCAAGGUCAUGACUAUUACUAAACAGUUAUUAAAAAUGUAAACUAAUUGUGAAUUAAAAUGACAGAAACUGUAAAUUGUGCUGGCUUGUAAGAACCAUUUACUAUCAUUGCUCUUUCUAUACUUGUGGUGUGAGAAUUCCAUUAAAAUUGAAUCUUACUGAUUUUUAAUUUGCUGACUUAAUCUUGAAACUUAAAUUUACCAGCAUCUGACAGACCAUCUCAAUGGUUUAGAGUCUGGAUCAUCAUAUUAGACCACCUGUGAUAGUUGGUGUGAGGUGUGUGGUUUUUAUAUUUUUAUUAGUAAAUUAUUUUGUAUAACGAAAUAACAUAAAGUUCUCAUAAGGAAAUAGAACUUAGAUUCCUGUAGUUGUCAUAUUUGUACACGUGUAAGGCAGCUUUCUCUCCCAGGCUCAUCAGUAGCAUCUUCUGAUUGCAGGUCGGUUAGGCCCCGUUUAACCAUCUAUGUCUGUCGGGAGCAGCCAAGCAGCACAGUGCUGCAAGGGCAGCAGCAAGCUGCAAGCAGUGCAAGCGAGAAUGGCAGUGGGGCACCCUAUGUUUAUCAUGCAAUCUACUUGGAAGAAAUGAUUGCCUCAGAAGUUGCUCGAAAACUUGCGCUGGUGUUUAAUAUUCCUCUCCACCAAAUUAAUCAGGUUUACAGACAGGGUCCCACUGGUAUUCACAUUCUUGUUAGUGAUCAGAUGGUUCAGAAUUUUCAAGAUGAGAGUUGUUUUUUAUUCUCCACAGUAAAAGCUGAAAAUAGUGAUGGCAUCCACAUAAUUUUGAAGUGAUGUCUUAUAUAGACUGAACUAUAUUCAGUACCAAAUAGUCACGCUUAAAAGUGUGUGAAGACUGAAUCCAAGAAGUCUUGGGAUUGGAUUUUACCAUAUGAAAUGUUUCAUAUUGAAAACACAAGAUGACCUUUCUAAUGAGCUGUAUGAGAGGUGAAUCUCCUCACUGUCACUGCCAUAGCCAAGCAUCCUCAUGAGAGUGAGCACGUCAGCACAGCAUGCAUCCAGCUCUGGAGGCUACGGUGCAGGCAUAGCUGCCUGCUGCUCUGGCAGAGGCCAGUAAAUACAGUUCCUAGAAGCAGCCUUUGCUGUCUUUUUACACUGUAUGCGGUUUGGAAAUGAAUGUAGAAACUUACUGUGGGCAUUUACCUUUCUGUGCCAGUUUGGCUUUUAUUGCCUGAACCUUAUGCUGACCUGGAGAGGAGACGGGGGACAGUGCUGUUGUGGGGCCAGCAGUAAAUCUGUAUGCGGAGAGCUGUGUUGUGCUGAUGUGGCCGUUGGUGGUCAGGUAAGAGGCUCGGCACCUUCUUGGAAGAAAUCAUGUCUGAGGGUGUACGUUUGAUAUGAUCAUGCCAGAUUGGAGAAGAUCCAAGCCAGGAAGAUGGGCUUGAAGCAAACUGCAUUAUCAGGAGUACCUUGGUGAGAGGAUCAGUGUAAAUCCUAAUAGGUACAAAGACUUUUUUGUGUUUUGGCUUUGUCACAGAUUUAUUGAAAAACUUUUUUGCUUCUGCUUCCAUUUUUAGCAUUUUAGUUUCAGGUUUUCAUUUUUGGAGAUUCCUUGCCUUUUAAACUCGUGGUUUUUCUCUCGUUUUCUUCCCUCUCUCCCUCCAUCUCUGACCACCCCCCACCCUAACCCCCCACCCCUACUAUCCUAUUAAACAUUUUUAAAGCCCUACCCCAGACAUUGGAAAUAGGUGACCCAAGUAGGGGGAGAGAGUAUUAUUGUUGAUAGCUUCUGACUGGGUGUUAAGGGAUCUUCAAGAUGAAUUUUUUUGUGGAAACACUAGAUGUUAUCAGUCAAACACUAAAAUGUACCAUACAAAUCCCUUAAGCCUCUCUCAAAUAUUGAGCUUUAGUACAAUCAUGGAUAGACAUUCUGGUGAUGAUUUAGGGGCUUUUUAUACACCACAUAAUAGCUUCUUUCUCUAUAAGAGUGCCUCUUUCAUAAAACCAAAUGCUUGUCUGCUAGCAUACUUUUCAAAGGGAAUCCACUGUUUUCUCACUUUCCUCCCAUAUCUCCGUCCUUCAUCCAGAACCUUCCCAGAAUCCAUCAGCAAGCAUGUUUGAGGCCUGUGGUGUAGGGGACUGAAUUUUUUUUUUAACUUCUAUUCCAUUUUAAUUGUAGGAUAUCUCUGUCCAUAUACCCAGAUGUCCUGAUUUGAAUGUACUAUUUGAUCCUCAUUGUGUUCAGGCAAAAAAUAGGAAAUGAGUAAUUUUGAGUUUGAAAUCUCUCCCAGAAGACAAACUACUUCAGUGGGUAAAAGCUUUGACAUUUUAUGUUUUAUUCAUAAAGGGGGUUAAUUAUUUGCUACAGAGAAGCACGAUCUAUUUUCAUCAUCGAUUUGAAAAUAUCUGUAACUCCUAUAGAUCCUGUAGGCAGAGAGUUUUCCUUUCUGACUUUUUCCCUUUGCUUUUGUGUGACCACGUGUUUUCUGUACCAGUCACUGGGGAAAGAAGUGAGUUUAUCUCUUGUUUUAAAAGUUUUGCUUGUCUAUUUAGCAUUCCUUUUUGGGUCUCAAGAUUUAUGGAACAAUAAAUGUCAUUUAAUGCUGUGUGCUUAUUUUGAAUUCCUCAUCAGGUUUUAGAAGCGGGGUAAAAAUACUUAGAUGCUUAUCAGACUUGACUUGAAAUUAUACUGAGUGACAUUGAACAUGAGUUUGUCCCAGUGAAACAGGCUAAAUAAAUUUUGGCACCAGCAAAUUUGUUACUUUGUUUUUUUAAUAGUAGGAUGUACACAUUUCAGUAUAAUAAAUGUUUUCUGAUUGUUUUGCAAA
RNA transcript from Nomascus leucogenys (northern white-cheeked gibbon), 4664 nucleotides. It is a transcript of the gene named upstream binding protein 1, with no coding region annotated. The transcript is spliced from 16 exons. The record is from RefSeq and is a predicted model, not a curated record. Lineage: Eukaryota; Metazoa; Chordata; Mammalia; Primates; Hylobatidae.